GACGUAGGGGGCCAGCGUUGUCCGGAUUUAUUGGGCGUAAAGAGCGUGUAGGCGGCCAGGUAGGUCUGGUGUGAAAACUCGAGGCUUAACCUCGAGAUGUCAUCGGAAACCAUCUGGCUAGAGUCCGGAAGAGGAGAGUGGAAUUCCUGGUGUAGCGGUGAAAUGCGCAGAUAUCAGGAAGAACACCAAUGGCGAAAGCAGCUCUCUGGGACGGUACUGACGCUGAGACGCGAAAGCGUGGGGAGCGAACAGG
Molecule: ribosomal RNA, 253 nt
Filed under: uncultured bacterium
Lineage: Bacteria
Description: partial 16S ribosomal RNA
Rfam family: Bacterial small subunit ribosomal RNA
Source: RNAcentral